CGCGCUGGAUGACGGCGCCAAGCUGUCGGGCCUGCAGCGCAUCGUCGAAAACGACGCCAACGAAGCCCAAGAUCCCGACAGCGCCGCCGAGCCUGGCGAGGCCGGCGACAACCCCGAAGCUCCCAAGGACUGACAUGAUUUCUCGCAAGCUGGGCCUGGCCCUGGCGGUGUCCCUCUCGCUCGCCGCUGGCGCCGCACUGGCCGAGCCCUCCCCGUCCAAGAAGGCGCUGAUCGACAAGCUGGUCAAGUUGCAGCAGCCGGCUGCAGAAAUGCUGGCCCGCACGGUGGUGCAGCAGCCGCUCGGCCAGUUGAUGCAGGCCGCCGGCCAGGCGCUGCAGCAAGUGCCUGCCGAAAAGCGCGAGGCCACCGCCAA
RNAcentral lists this small RNA (373 nucleotides) under Kryptoperidinium foliaceum. RNAcentral describes it as "transfer-messenger RNA". Lineage: Eukaryota; Dinophyceae; Peridiniales; Kryptoperidiniaceae. The record is from RNAcentral.